AUAAUGAAAAAAACUAAAAGAAAUUCAUUCAUGGGAGAAGAUCUGUGGAGCAUCACAAACCGAAGGAGAAUUAAACGAAGAGAAAAAGAAAAAUGCCAAACAAAGAGAGCAAGAGACAAUCUACUGAACCAGGAGAGAAACAGACACAGAGACUAACCAGAACAAACAGCAUCAAAAGUGGAAAACCAAACUUUUCUGAUGAUCCAGACAGUUUUAUUCAGAGAGACUCUCAGACGAGACAGGAGCAGCUCCUUUCACCAGACCAGCAGAAUAUACUUUAUAUUCAGUCUCUAACUAAACACUGCUUUUUUUUAGAUAGUUUGUUGUAUUUUUGUGUUACUGUAUAUUCAAAAUAUUAUAGACCUACUGUAUAUAACAAGCCAAUAUCAACUAAUAUCAACUUCAUUCACUGUACAAUUUUACACUGUAUAAAACUAAGAACUGGAGCAUUAUCUGGAAUACUAUUGUUGAAAUUUACUAGCAAUUUGUUUUACUGUAUGAUGCUAUGUUUCUAAAACUAUUACAAUAUUUCAUAGUGACAAAAAUGUAUGUUUAAAAAAAAGUGUAUUUUAUAAAACUAAUUUUAUGAUUUUUAUUGCAAUACAUCUGUAUAUACUGAUAAAAAAUAAAAUAUUUUUCUCUUCAAUAUUUUGAUUUUGU
Cyprinus carpio (common carp) is the source of this 660-nucleotide long non-coding RNA. Lineage: Eukaryota; Metazoa; Chordata; Actinopteri; Cypriniformes; Cyprinidae. The record is from Ensembl.